RNAcentral lists this ribosomal RNA (465 nucleotides) under uncultured bacterium. RNAcentral's name for it is "partial 16S ribosomal RNA". It matches the Rfam family "Bacterial small subunit ribosomal RNA", at positions 28 to 507 of the family's 1533-position model. The record is from RNAcentral.
GACGAACGCUGGCGGCGUGCUUAACACAUGCAAGUCGAACGGAAAGGCCCCUUCGGGGGUACUCGAGUGGCGAACAGGUGAGUAACACGUGAGUAACCUGCCCUUGACUUCGGGAUAACUUCAGGAAACUGGGGCUAAUACCGGAUAGGAAUCCUUGCUGCAUGGUGGGGGUUGGAAAGCUUCGGCGGUUUUGGAUGGACUCGCGGCUUAUCAGCUUGUUGGUGGGGUAGUGGCUUACCAAGGCUUUGACGGGUAGCCGGCCUGAGAGGGCGACCGGCCACAUUGGGACUGAGAUACGGCCCAGACUCCUACGGGAGGCAGCAGUGGGGAAUAUUGCACAAUGGGCGGAAGCCUGAUGCAGCAACGCCGCGUGCGGGAUGACGGCCUUCGGGUUGUAAACCGCUUCCAGCAGGGGCGAAGCUUGUGGUGACGGUACCUGCAGAAGAAGCACCGGCUAACUACGUG